AUGGGUAAUAUGUACCUCGUCGGAAGGAUUCUGACACGGAACAGGAAAACACCAAGGAUUUGGUCAUCUUCAGGAUGAAGAGACGACUACUCAGGAUGAAUGGUCGGCAUGGAAAGCGAAUUGGACAUUGAAUGGACGCAAUAGUAACUAGGAUGGUUGCUACUAAGGAAAGACAAUGGACACCUCUGGAUGAGGCAAGGACUGAACAUCAGGAUGAUGUAAAGGACACCGCUAGGAAGGCGACGUAAGGAAUAAGCUGACGGAAUACAGCACACUAUCAUGGAUUUGAUGCAUGGAGCACUUUUGUAGCUGGAUUGCUGCGAGUAAGACUAUAACCCCGCAGGGCUUUUGCCCUCGGGGUUUUUCUUUAUUGG
RNAcentral lists this unclassified non-coding RNA (374 nucleotides) under Vibrio aestuarianus subsp. francensis. The record is from RNAcentral. Lineage: Bacteria; Pseudomonadati; Pseudomonadota; Gammaproteobacteria; Vibrionales; Vibrionaceae.